Non-coding RNA from Cucurbita pepo subsp. pepo (vegetable marrow), 348 nucleotides. The record is from RefSeq and is a predicted model, not a curated record. Lineage: Eukaryota; Viridiplantae; Streptophyta; Magnoliopsida; Cucurbitales; Cucurbitaceae.
CACAAGAAAAUAUUUGGUUUUUGGAGAGAUGAACAUGCACAAGUUUGUGUGGAUCUUUCUUACUAUAAUCGCCAUGCUAUCUCUUUCGGUUUCCUCUCAUAGGGGAGGAAUGAUCGGACAUUUUAUUCCAUUAACUUGUGAUACAAAUUGUGCGGACAGGGGUGAGAUUGCAGACAAAAAAUGCUUAAGCUCAUGCCUUCAUAGAGGAUUUGUAUACGGAGUAUGCCUUCCAAAUACAAAGUUUGUAUCAUGUUGUUGUAGCUAUAAGUGAGAUCCAACAAAGUUACUAUGACUCGGUAUGAAAUAAAUUAUCUUGAAUAAUAAAUCGAAAGUUUGUUAUUAUUCUCU